RNAcentral lists this ribosomal RNA (468 nucleotides) under uncultured bacterium. RNAcentral describes it as "bacterial SSU rRNA". It matches the Rfam family "Bacterial small subunit ribosomal RNA", at positions 28 to 507 of the family's 1533-position model. The record is from RNAcentral.
GACGAACGCUGGGCGGCGUGCUUAACACAUGCAAGUCGAACGGUGAACCAGAGCUUGCUCGUGGGGAUCAGUGGCGAACGGGUGAGUAACACGUGGGCAACCUGCCCCAGACUCUGGGAUAACCUCGGGAAACCGAUGCUAAUACCGGAUACGACCACUUCGGACAUCCGACGGUGGUGGUAAAGUUUUCGGUCUGGGAUGGGCCCGCGGCCUAUCAGCUAGUUGGUGGGAUAAUGGCCUACCAAGGCGACGACGGGUAGCCGGCCUGAGAGGGCGACCGGCCACACUGGAACUGAGACACGGUCCAGACUCCUACGGGAGGCAGCAGUGGGGAAUAUUGCACAAUGGGCGAAAGCCUGAUGCAGCGACGCCGCGUGAGGGACGACGGCCUUCGGGUUGUAAACCUCUUUCAGCAGGGACGAAGCGAAAGUGACUGUACCUGCAGAAGAAGCACCGGCUAACUACGUG